Molecule: long non-coding RNA, 842 nt
Filed under: Mytilus galloprovincialis (Mediterranean mussel)
Lineage: Eukaryota; Metazoa; Mollusca; Bivalvia; Mytilida; Mytilidae
Source: RNAcentral
AUUUGUGAUUGUUCCAUUAGUAAAUAUUAAUGAAAAUUUAAUCAAAAUUGGUUUUCUGGAUUGUAUAUGUAAAAAAUUGAAACAUCUUUUUAAAUUAAUGAUCUUCCCUAAUAAUGUUGGUUAAUGACAAACAUCGCCAUAUAUCAUAGUUACCAUCAUUGCUAAAAACUAAUCUCGAUUGACUCAUAACUCAACAACUGAACAGUUUGUAUAUUUGAGCCAAUUGGCAUCAUUGUAGAGUUAUAAUACAAUGGUUAUUCCGAUUAUCAAUCGUAAUUGAUGGCGUUCUUACUCGUCAUAAAUGGAUGCAUCGUUAUUAAAAAUAUAGAUAUUACAAAAGUUCAGAAUUUAUUGUAGAAAAUACUGUUUAGGAUGGAAAAACUUCAACAUGUUAAAUAAAGAAUAUCAAAAUACAUUGUAACAUUUAUUUCUCAGAAAGGAUUCUGUUAGAAAAACAAAAUGGCAUUAACUGUAUCUUUUACUUAAAAUAGAUUGUCAAAGGAAAAGACUGUAAAAUAUACGCGUUACAGCUUGCUUGUUCAAAAAGCAGUCCUUUCUGUUUUAGAAUAUGACAACCCCAUGAAUAUAAAAUGAAAAUCUGCAAAAUCAUUGAAUGUCAUAAUCACGUAACAAUAGUAUUAACGUGAGCAAUAAAUCUUACAGUAUGAGGGACAAGUAUGAUCUUUCUUACUUUUAUUGGUAGAAAUAUACUGUAAUGUUAUUGUUGAAGUAGACUACAAAACUAGUACGGUACAAAAUUAUAACAACCUUUAUUUAUAUGUUUUAAAAUAUAUUGUUUCCAUUUAAAAUAUAUUGUUUGACUUUAGUAUUGUAAACUCAUG